UGUAUGGAUUUGCCUAUUUUUGAUGUUUUG
This 30-nucleotide non-coding RNA is filed under the name Rattus norvegicus (Norway rat). The record is from RNAcentral. Lineage: Eukaryota; Metazoa; Chordata; Mammalia; Rodentia; Muridae.